UGUGUGUAAUUUAAAGAAAAUAUCAAGUUGUGACCCUGAAAAUAGUAUACUCUCACACACC
Molecule: transfer RNA, 61 nt
Filed under: Gloydius himalayanus
Lineage: Eukaryota; Metazoa; Chordata; Lepidosauria; Squamata; Viperidae
Description: tRNA-His
Source: RNAcentral